GAUGAGGAACGCAGCGAAAUGCGAUAAGUAAUGUGAAUUGCAGAAUUCAGUGAAUCAUCGAAUCUUUGAACGCACAUUGCGCCCCUUGGUAUUCCGAGGGGCAUGCCUGUUCGAGCGUCAUUAUAACCCCUCAAGCUCAGCUUGGUGUUGGGGCCUGCUGCACUGGCAGCCCUUAAAAUCAGUGGCGGCGCCAUCUGGCUCUAAGCGUAGUAAUUCUUCUCGCUAUGGAGUCCUGGUGGAUGCUUGCCAUCAACCCCCAAUUUUUCUAUGGUUGACCUCGGAUCAGGUAGGGAUACCCGCUGAACUUAAGCAUAUCAAUAAGCGGAGGA
Molecule: unclassified non-coding RNA, 329 nt
Filed under: soil metagenome
Description: partial contains 5.8S ribosomal RNA, internal transcribed spacer 2, and large subunit ribosomal RNA
Rfam family: 5.8S ribosomal RNA (bases 1-120)
Source: RNAcentral